RNAcentral lists this ribosomal RNA (301 nucleotides) under uncultured bacterium. Its description in RNAcentral is "partial 16S ribosomal RNA". It matches the Rfam family "Bacterial small subunit ribosomal RNA", at positions 509 to 807 of the family's 1533-position model. The record is from RNAcentral.
CAGUAGCCGCGGGAAUACGAAGGGGGCUAGCGUUGUUCGGAUUUACUGGGCGUAAAGCGCACGUAGGCGGAUCGAUCAGUCAGGGGUGAAAUCCCAGAGCUCAACUCUGGAACUGCCUUUGAUACUGUCGAUCUGGAGUAUGGAAGAGGUGAGUGGAAUUCCGAGUGUAGAGGUGAAAUUCGUAGAUAUUCGGAGGAACACCAGUGGCGAAGGCGGCUCACUGGUCCAUUACUGACGCUGAGGUGCGAAAGCGUGGGGAGCAAACAGGAUUAGAUACCCGCGUAGUCCCUGUCUCUUAUAC